UACGUAGGUGGCAAGCGUUGUCCGGAUUUACUGGGCGUAAAGAGCGCGCAGGCGGUCGAGUAAGUCGAAUGUGAAAGCCCCCGGCUUAACUGGGGAGGGUCAUUCGAUACUGUUCGACUUGAAGGCAGGAGAGGGCAGCAGAAUUCCCGGUGUAGUGGUGAAAUGCGUAGAUAUCGGCAGGAACACCCAGGGGGAAACCAGUGGACUGGCACGGUGCUGACGCUCAGGUGCGAAAGCGUGGGGAGCGAACCGG
RNAcentral lists this ribosomal RNA (253 nucleotides) under uncultured bacterium. RNAcentral describes it as "partial 16S ribosomal RNA". It matches the Rfam family "Bacterial small subunit ribosomal RNA", at positions 524 to 776 of the family's 1533-position model. The record is from RNAcentral.